AAUGGCUGCGGUGGCUACAGCUAGCGAGCAUGAGAAUGAAAAGGGCAGUUUUCAGAAAAAAACUAGCAGUAUUUCAAUCUUCUUGACGGAACAAAGGUACAAAUUGGAGUACAGUGGCAUAUCCCAUCCCUGCAUUGAAACCUCUUCAAACCCUACAACUGACUGGAACUAAGAUACAUGAAGUUACUGCACAAAUCAAGCUGGAACAAGCACCGCUGACCUGCUUCGCAAGUUAACUAGAUACCCAACGUUACCCUGCUAGUCCCUUCAAUGACAUUCAUUGGACAAGCGAAAUGAAUGAAAAUCUAAAGUCUUAUGACGUCAUCCGGGCAGCCACUGGUGAUUUGUGCAGCAGUUCGAGGUAGAUCCAGGAUCAGAUUACACAACUCUCAUAAUGAGGAUAAAAACAAUGAGACUGGACCAGUGGUGCGGGGAAACUCCUACCAGCAGUACUCUCCCAAAGAGUAGUGAAACCUGUACUGCACUCAUCUGGCAGUAUGUACCACAAUAAUAUUGGGAUAUACCUUGUUUGAUGCAUAUUGUGACUUAUGCCAUGUGAAGGUUCAACACAGAAUGUUGUUUUCU
Long non-coding RNA from Oncorhynchus gorbuscha (pink salmon), 585 nucleotides. RefSeq lists it as uncharacterized. The record is from RefSeq and is a predicted model, not a curated record. NCBI's taxonomy places the organism in Eukaryota, Metazoa, Chordata, Actinopteri, Salmoniformes, Salmonidae. The transcript has 3 exons.